This 463-nucleotide long non-coding RNA is filed under the name Homo sapiens (human). Its description in RNAcentral is "TOMM20L divergent transcript (TOMM20L-DT)". The record is from RNAcentral. Lineage: Eukaryota; Metazoa; Chordata; Mammalia; Primates; Hominidae.
AAACACGCCUCUGCCCCUGUGUCUACAACACCCAUUCAGGCAAAGCACAGUAUGCUGCGAAUCUGCUUUACUGGGAGCCAGUGGUCGUUUAGGUCUCUGUUCCCUCACCUGCAAAAUUAAGUUGACUCUAAGGUCAACUUUGGUCACCUCCUAGUUCACAUUGUCUAACAGUAGCCCGUACUCCCCAAUCUGGUAUCCUUUGUCUCCUGAAAGGACCCAGCAGUCCAAGGUCCAAGGGAGGAAUUCAGAAGCAACACUGUUUAAUCUAGAAAAAUACGUUAAAUUGCUGGGCUGAGACUGACAGUCAAAGGUCCCAAAGCAAAAACAACUGAGAGUCCCAUGAUACUGGCCUAGCUGCUUUUCUAAUAUUUGCCUUACUCAGCGGACACAGCAGAAAGAAAGAAGGAAUUAAAAACUGCUGGACUUGGAGCACAAUGGUCAAGGCCACACAUGACACGUCACU